UACGUAGGGGCCUAGCGUUGUCCGGAUUUAUUGGGCGUAAAGAGCUCGUAGGCGGUUCGGUAAGUCAGGGGUGAAAUCUCCACGCUCAACGUGGAGGCGCCACCUGAAACUGCCGUGACUCGAGUCCGGUAGGGGAGUGUGGAAUUCCCGGUGUAGCGGUGAAAUGCGCAGAUAUCGGGAGGAACCCCAGUGGCGAAGGCGGCACUCUGGGCCGGUACUGACGCUGAGGAGCGAAAGCGUGGGGAGCGAACAGG
RNAcentral lists this ribosomal RNA (254 nucleotides) under uncultured bacterium. RNAcentral describes it as "partial 16S ribosomal RNA". It matches the Rfam family "Bacterial small subunit ribosomal RNA", at positions 524 to 776 of the family's 1533-position model. The record is from RNAcentral.